Non-coding RNA from Gossypium hirsutum (cotton), 122 nucleotides. The record is from Rfam. Lineage: Eukaryota; Viridiplantae; Streptophyta; Magnoliopsida; Malvales; Malvaceae.
AAUAGCAAAAUGACAAAUCAACUUUUUUCUCUUAAUUUUCAGCUUUUUCCUCUUAAAAAAUUCAAAUACAACUAAAAACACUAAAAAUCACUAGGAAAAAUUUGAUUUGUCAUUUUGUUAUU